This 474-nucleotide ribosomal RNA is filed under the name uncultured bacterium. Its description in RNAcentral is "bacterial SSU rRNA". It matches the Rfam family "Bacterial small subunit ribosomal RNA", at positions 26 to 518 of the family's 1533-position model. The record is from RNAcentral.
AGGACGAACGCUGGCGGCGUGCCUAACACAUGCAAGUCGAGCGAUGAAACCCUUCGGGGUGGAUUAGCGGCGGACGGGUGAGUAACACGUGGGUAACCUGCCUCAAAGAGGGGGAUAGCCUCCCGAAAGGGAGAUUAAUACCGCAUAACAUUAUUUCUUCGCAUGAAGAGAUAAUCAAAGGAGUAAUCCGCUUUGAGAUGGACCCGCGGCGCAUUAGCUAGUUGGUGAGGUAAUGGCUCACCAAGGCGACGAUGCGUAGCCGACCUGAGAGGGUGAUCGGCCACAUUGGAACUGAGAUACGGUCCAGACUCCUACGGGAGGCAGCAGUGGGGAAUAUUGCGCAAUGGGGGAAACCCUGACGCAAGCAACGCCGCGUGGGUGAAGAAGGCCUUCGGGUUGUAAAGCUCUGUCUUCUGGGACGAUAAUGACGGUACCAGAGGAGGAAGCCACGGCUAACUACGUGCCAGCAGCAGC